UACGUAGGGAGCGAGCGUUAUCCGGAUUUACUGGGUGUAAAGGGCGCGUAGGCGGGAAUGCAAGUCAAAUGUGAAAUCUCCGGGCUCAACCCGGAAACUGCAUUUGAAACUGUAUUUCUUGAGUGAUGGAGAGGCAAGCGGAAUUCCUAGUGUAGCGGUGAAAUGCGUAGAUAUUAGGAGGAACACCAGUGGCGAAGGCGGCUUGCUGGACAUUAACUGACGCUGAGGCGCGAAAGCGUGGGGAGCAAACAGG
Molecule: ribosomal RNA, 253 nt
Filed under: uncultured prokaryote
Description: partial 16S ribosomal RNA
Rfam family: Bacterial small subunit ribosomal RNA
Source: RNAcentral